UCGAGAAUCUUCGGCAAUGGGCGAAAGCCUGACCGAGCGACGCCGCGUGCGGGAUGAAGGCCUUCGGGUUGUAAACCGCUGUCAGUGGGGAGGAAAUGCUGGAGGGUUCUCCCUUCAGUUUGACCUAUCCGCAGAGGAAGUACGGGCUAAGUUCGUGCCAGCAGCCGCGGUAACACGAACCGUACGAACGUUAUUCGGAAUCACUGGGCUUAAAGGGUGCGUAGGCGGCUUGGUAAGUUGGGUGUGAAAUCCCUCGGCUUAACCGAGGAAUUGCGCUCAAAACUGCCAGGCUAGAGGAAGUCAGAGGUGAGUGGAACUUAGGGUGGAGCGGUGAAAUGCGUUGAUAUCCUAAGGAACACCAGUGGCGAAAGCGACUCACUGGGGCUUUUCUGACGCUGAGGCACGAAAGCUAGGGGAGCGAACGG
This 425-nucleotide ribosomal RNA is filed under the name uncultured bacterium. RNAcentral describes it as "bacterial SSU rRNA". It matches the Rfam family "Bacterial small subunit ribosomal RNA", at positions 355 to 775 of the family's 1533-position model. The record is from RNAcentral.